UUGCGCGGAAGGAGCGGCCGAUGUCUGAUUAGCUAGUUGGUGGGGUAAAGGCUUACCAAGGCAACGAUCAGUAGCUGGUCUGAGAGGACGACCAGCCACACUGGGACUGAGACACGGCCCAGACUCCUACGGGAGGCAGCAGUGGGGAAUUUUGGACAAUGGGCGAAAGCCUGAUCCAGCCAUGCCGCGUGAGUGAAGAAGGCCUUCGGGUUGUAAAGCUCUUUUAGUCGGAAAGAAAGAAUCGCAAUAAAUAGUUGCGAUUUAUGACGGUACCGACAGAAAAAGCACCGGCUAACUACGUGCCAGCAGCCGCGGUAAUACGUAGGGUGCGAGCGUUAAUCGGAAUUACUGGGCGUAAAGGGUGCGCAGGCGGUUUUGCAAGUCGGAUGUGAAAGCCCCG
Molecule: ribosomal RNA, 400 nt
Filed under: uncultured ammonia-oxidizing bacterium
Lineage: Bacteria
Description: bacterial SSU rRNA
Rfam family: Bacterial small subunit ribosomal RNA
Source: RNAcentral